UUCUAUUAAAAUCAUUAAUAGUAUAAUCUGCUCAAUGACAUUAAAUAGCCGCAGAAUCUGUGCUAAGGUAGCAUAAUCAUUUGUCUUUUAAAUAAAGACUAGUACAAAAGAUUGAACAUUUUAAUUAAUUUCUUUAAAUUAAUAUUUCAAAUUUAACAAAAAUGUAAAAAGACAUUUAUAUUUCAGAAAGACGAUAAGACCCUAUUGAACUUAACUAUAGUUAAACUGGGGUAGUUAAUUAAUUAAAACUUUAAUAAAAAUAUUAAAAUAAUUGAUCUAAUACAAUUAACUUUAUAAUCAAGUUACCAUAGGGAUAACAGCGUAAUAUAAAUUUAAAGAUCUUAUAAAAAUAUAAGAUUACGACCUCGAUGUUGAAUAAUAUUCUAUACAUCGCAAAAGAUGAAUAAUGAGAGUCUGUUCGACUUUUAAAUAAUUACA
Molecule: ribosomal RNA, 438 nt
Filed under: Paradiestus penicillatus
Lineage: Eukaryota; Metazoa; Arthropoda; Arachnida; Araneae; Corinnidae
Description: partial 16S ribosomal RNA
Source: RNAcentral